UACGAAGGGGGCUAGCGUUGCUCGGAAUCACUGGGCGUAAAGCGCACGUAGGCGGAUUGCUAAGUCAGGGGUGAAAUCCUGGAGCUCAACUCCAGAACUGCCUUUGAUACUGGCGACCUUGAGUCCGGGAGAGGUGAGUGGAACUGCGAGUGUAGAGGUGAAAUUCGUAGAUAUUCGCAAGAACACCCGUGGCGAAGGCGGUUCUCUGGGACGGUACUGACGCUGAGACGCGAAAGCGUGGGGAGCGAACGGG
Molecule: ribosomal RNA, 253 nt
Filed under: uncultured bacterium
Lineage: Bacteria
Description: partial 16S ribosomal RNA
Rfam family: Bacterial small subunit ribosomal RNA
Source: RNAcentral